Molecule: transfer RNA, 72 nt
Filed under: Heterocephalus glaber (naked mole-rat)
Lineage: Eukaryota; Metazoa; Chordata; Mammalia; Rodentia; Bathyergidae
Rfam family: tRNA
About the family: Transfer RNA (tRNA) molecules are approximately 80 nucleotides in length. Their secondary structure includes four short double-helical elements and three loops (D, anti-codon, and T loops). Further hydrogen bonds mediate the characteristic L-shaped molecular structure. tRNAs have two regions of fundamental functional importance: the anti-codon, which is responsible for specific mRNA codon recognition, and the 3' end, to which the tRNAs corresponding amino acid is attached (by aminoacyl-tRNA synthetases). tRNAs cope with the degeneracy of the genetic code in two manners: having more than one tRNA (with a specific anti-codon) for a particular amino acid; and 'wobble' base-pairing, i.e. permitting non-standard base-pairing at the 3rd anti-codon position.
Source: Rfam by way of RNAcentral
GGGGGUGGUGCUCAGUAGGAGAGCUCUUGCCUCACGAGCGAGAAGCCCUGGGUCCUAUCCCCAGCACCACAA